RNAcentral lists this long non-coding RNA (487 nucleotides) under Nicotiana benthamiana. RNAcentral describes it as "long non-coding RNA (NBEN_LNC031649)". Lineage: Eukaryota; Viridiplantae; Streptophyta; Magnoliopsida; Solanales; Solanaceae. The record is from RNAcentral.
ACCUCAGCCUCGCUUCUCGCAUCUUCUCAUCCACCGGGGCCACCCCCACCUUCUCUCGAAUAACUUCAUUCUUAAUCUUACUAACCUGGUAAGCCCGCACAUCCACCUGGGCAUCCACAUCUCCGCAACCUUCAUUCUCGGAACAUGAGAGUUCUUCACUGGAACACUUCGCCCCAUACAACAUUGCAGGUCUAACCACAGCUCUAUAAAAUUUUCCUUUGAGUUUCUGUGGAACUUUCUUGUCACACAGGACUCCUGAUGCAAGCCUCCACUUUGACCACCCCGCUCCUAUACGAUCAGUGACGUCCCCGUCAAUCUUUCCGUCCCCCUGCAUCACCGACCCAAGAUAUCUGACACUGUCCCUCUAGGCGAUGAUCUGAGAUCCAAUCAUCACGUCUCUGCCUACUUCGCUUGGCUCGGCGCUAAACUUGCACUCCAGGUAUUCUGUCUUAGAUUUGCUUAUUUUGAAACCCUUAGACUCGAGAGU